GCAGCCGCGGUAAUACGUAGGUGGCAAGCGUUGUCCGGAUUUACUGGGUGUAAAGGGCGUGUAGCCGGGUCGGCAAGUCAGAUGUGAAAUCCACGGGCUCAACUCGUGAACUGCAUUUGAAACUGUUGAUCUUGAGUGUCGGAGAGGUAAUCGGAAUUCCUAGUGUAGCGGUGAAAUGCGUAGAUAUUAGGAAGAACACCGGUGGCGAAGGCGGAUUACUGGACGAUAACUGACGGUGAGGCGCGAAAGCGUGGGGAGCAAACAGGAUUAGAUACCCC
RNAcentral lists this ribosomal RNA (278 nucleotides) under uncultured bacterium. RNAcentral's name for it is "partial 16S ribosomal RNA". It matches the Rfam family "Bacterial small subunit ribosomal RNA", at positions 511 to 788 of the family's 1533-position model. The record is from RNAcentral.